This 497-nucleotide ribosomal RNA is filed under the name uncultured bacterium. RNAcentral's name for it is "partial 16S ribosomal RNA". It matches the Rfam family "Bacterial small subunit ribosomal RNA", at positions 28 to 507 of the family's 1533-position model. The record is from RNAcentral.
GAUGAACGCUGGCGGCGUGCCUAAUACAUGCAAGUCGAGCGAACAGACGAGGCGCUUGCUCCUCUGACGUUAGCGGCGGACGGGUGAGUAACACGUGGAUAACCUACCUAUAAGACUGGGAUAACUUCGGGAAACCGGAGCUAAUACCGGAUAAUAUAUUGAACCGCAUGGUUCAAUAGUGAAAGCCGGUUCUGCUGUCACUUAUACAUGGAUCCGCGCCGCAUUAGCUAGUUGGUAAGGUAACGGCUUACCAAGGCAACGCUGCGUAGCCGACCUGGGAGGGUGAUCGUCCACACUGGAACUGAGACACGGUCCAGACUCCUACGGGAGGCAGCAGUAGGGAAUCUUCCGCAAUGGGCGAAAGCCUGACGGAGCAACGCCGCGUGAGUGAUAGAGGUCUUCGGGUCGUAAAACUCUGUUAUUAGGGAAGAACAAAUGUGUAAGUAACUAUGCACGUCUUGACGGUACCUAAUCAGAAAGCCACGGCUAACUACGUG